Long non-coding RNA from Daphnia pulex (common water flea), 915 nucleotides. RefSeq lists it as uncharacterized. The record is from RefSeq and is a predicted model, not a curated record. NCBI's taxonomy places the organism in Eukaryota, Metazoa, Arthropoda, Branchiopoda, Diplostraca, Daphniidae. The transcript has 3 exons.
GUUCACUUUUCUUCCAAGUUCGAAUCAGUUAACAACGUGGUCGUUGCUCCCAGUACCACAACUUUUUACUGAAACUAGAUAACAAUUUUGUGUAAAUGACUAUUGUGGCAUUCCAACAUUUGGCCAGGUGCCUUUGAACAAUUAAAUCAAACAAAAUGAUGAUGAGAAAUGUUUAUAGUUUGUUCACAGUCAAGUGUGUGCUGAAUCUCUUUGAUGAAAACUUGAGUAGCAUGGAGAAACUUAAAUUGUGUGCUGAAACUUGGGAAUUGCAUAAAAUAUCUCAUUUCAGUGACUGAAACUUCAGCUGUUACUGAAAACUUGAUUUGUUGCAAAAUGCUGGUCGAACACAUUCAUAAAAUUACAUCACUUCCCCUAGAGACUUCAGAUGAAAUCCACUUCAAGAUCGAAAUCAACUAUAGAAUGUCCCAGCUGCAUCCUCCCCAUCAUCUUCUUUCGAUUAAGGGAAAAACAAACGAUACGUGGGAAAUACGAAAACAAUCAUGACAGCGCCAACAAUUAUCACAAUUGAAACGGACAAACAUUUGCGGUGAACAUUAUCGGCCUUGGACUUUGAAACGAAAUGACUUUGACUCGACUUUGAGACUCGCUGGAUGUUCCUCUGGCCGGAACGUGAAUUGUCAGCCGAUCUAUCGAAAUGUAUUAUCAAUCCAUCAUCGAGAGCGUAGUGUAUAAUUCUCUCUGCUCUUCUUGUUUUUUUUUAAGAAAUGAAUCAAUGAUGUCGUUACGGAGAACGUUCACCCGGAUAGAGGAAUGCCGAAUCAGCAAGUAGAAUGCGCAUUGAACUUGUAAUGCGCAUUUUCGUCUGCCAACGUUGAAAUUCCACGGCUGACUCGAGUCUUAUCACGACAGUUGAAUUUCUAAUGCAACAUAGUACCCACUAGAUCAGAGAUCCUA